GGUUAAGCGACUAAGCGUACACGGUGGAUGCCCUGGCAGUCAGAGGCGAUGAAGGACGUGCUAAUCUGCGAUAAGCGUCGGUAAGGUGAUAUGAACCGUUAUAACCGGCGAUUUCCGAAUGGGGAAACCCAGUGUGUUUCGACACACUAUCAUUAACUGAAUCCAUAGGUUAAUGAGGCGAACCGGGGGAACUGAAACAUCUAAGUACCCCGAGGAAAAGAAAUCAACCGAGAUUCCCCCAGUAGCGGCGAGCGAACGGGGAGCAGCCCAGAGCCUGAAUCAGUAUGUGUGUUAGUGGAAGCGUCUGGAAAGGCGCGCGAUACAGGGUGACAGCCCCGUACACAAAAAUGCACAUGCUGUGAGCUCGAUGAGUAGGGCGGGACACGUGGUAUCCUGUCUGAAUAUGGGGGGACCAUCCUCCAAGGCUAAAUACUCCUGACUGACCGAUAGUGAACCAGUACCGUGAGGGAAAGGCGAAAAGAACCCCGGCGAGGGGAGUGAAAAAGAACCUGAAACCGUGUACGUACAAGCAGUGGGAGCUCGCUUAGGCGUGUGACUGCGUACCUUUUGUAUAAUGGGUCAGCGACUUAUAUUCUGUAGCAAGGUUAACCGAAUAGGGGAGCCGAAGGGAAACCGAGUCUUAACUGGGCGUUAAGUUGCAGGGUAUAGACCCGAAACCCGGUGAUCUAGCCAUGGGCAGGUUGAAGGUUGGGUAACACUAACUGGAGGACCGAACCGACUAAUGUUGAAAAAUUAGCGGAUGACUUGUGGCUGGGGGUGAAAGGCCAAUCAAACCGGGAGAUAGCUGGUUCUCCCCGAAAGCUAUUUAGGUAGCGCCUCGUGAAUUCAUCUCCGGGGGUAGAGCACUGUUUCGGCAAGGGGGUCAUCCCGACUUACCAACCCGAUGCAAACUGCGAAUACCGGAGAAUGUUAUCACGGGAGACACACGGCGGGUGCUAACGUCCGUCGUGAAGAGGGAAACAACCCAGACCGCCAGCUAAGGUCCCAAAGUCAUGGUUAAGUGGGAAACGAUGUGGGAAGGCCCAGACAGCCAGGAUGUUGGCUUAGAAGCAGCCAUCAUUUAAAGAAAGCGUAAUAGCUCACUGGUCGAGUCGGCCUGCGCGGAAGAUGUAACGGGGCUAAACCAUGCACCGAAGCUGCGGCAGCGACGCUUAUGCGUUGUUGGGUAGGGGAGCGUUCUGUAAGCCUGCGAAGGUGUGCUGUGAGGCAUGCUGGAGGUAUCAGAAGUGCGAAUGCUGACAUAAGUAACGAUAAAGCGGGUGAAAAGCCCGCUCGCCGGAAGACCAAGGGUUCCUGUCCAACGUUAAUCGGGGCAGGGUGAGUCGACCCCUAAGGCGAGGCCGAAAGGCGUAGUCGAUGGGAAACAGGUUAAUAUUCCUGUACUUGGUGUUACUGCGAAGGGGGGACGGAGAAGGCUAUGUUGGCCGGGCGACGGUUGUCCCGGUUUAAGCGUGUAGGCUGGUUUUCCAGGCAAAUCCGGAAAAUCAAGGCUGAGGCGUGAUGACGAGGCACUACGGUGCUGAAGCAACAAAUGCCCUGCUUCCAGGAAAAGCCUCUAAGCAUCAGGUAACAUCAAAUCGUACCCCAAACCGACACAGGUGGUCAGGUAGAGAAUACCAAGGCGCUUGAGAGAACUCGGGUGAAGGAACUAGGCAAAAUGGUGCCGUAACUUCGGGAGAAGGCACGCUGAUAUGUAGGUGAAGUCCCUCGCGGAUGGAGCUGAAAUCAGUCGAAGAUACCAGCUGGCUGCAACUGUUUAUUAAAAACACAGCACUGUGCAAACACGAAAGUGGACGUAUACGGUGUGACGCCUGCCCGGUGCCGGAAGGUUAAUUGAUGGGGU
RNAcentral lists this ribosomal RNA (1864 nucleotides) under Escherichia coli. RNAcentral describes it as "partial 23S ribosomal RNA". It matches the Rfam family "Bacterial large subunit ribosomal RNA", at positions 1 to 1890 of the family's 2925-position model. The record is from RNAcentral. Lineage: Bacteria; Pseudomonadati; Pseudomonadota; Gammaproteobacteria; Enterobacterales; Enterobacteriaceae.